RNAcentral lists this ribosomal RNA (258 nucleotides) under uncultured bacterium. RNAcentral describes it as "partial 16S ribosomal RNA". It matches the Rfam family "Bacterial small subunit ribosomal RNA", at positions 91 to 352 of the family's 1533-position model. The record is from RNAcentral.
ACGAGUGGCGGACGGGUGAGUAAUGUCUGGGAAACUGCCCGGUGGAGGGGGAUAACUACUGGAAACGGUAGCUAAUACCGCAUAACGUCGCAAGACCAAAGAGGGGGACCUUCGGGCCUCUUGCCACCGGAUGUGCCCAGAUGGGAUUAGCUUGUUGGUGAGGUAACGGCUCACCAAGGCGACGAUCCCUAGCUGGUCUGAGAGGAUGACCAGCCACACUGGAACUGAGACACGGUCCAGACUCCUACGGAAGGCAGC